Molecule: unclassified non-coding RNA, 560 nt
Filed under: Rhodanthe anthemoides
Lineage: Eukaryota; Viridiplantae; Streptophyta; Magnoliopsida; Asterales; Asteraceae
Description: partial external transcribed spacer
Rfam family: Eukaryotic small subunit ribosomal RNA (bases 509-560)
Source: RNAcentral
GUGCAUUCUGGGGCCAUUCCGGCUAAUCGCUGCUUUCCUUGCAAUUGAGCUUGGUUGGUGGUUGUUAGUUGGGUGGUUUCGGGGAUGACUACCGUAAAGGUGCAUGAGUGGUGUUUGGUUUGUUACGGGUGGUUGGCUCUUUGCUUGCGCAACAACUUCCACCUGGCAUACCUCUUCAUUUUUGUGUCGAUGCUUGUAUCGCAUCGAACGCAAUGUGGGUUUCUUGUGUUGCAUGCCUAAUAAACGGUAUCGUUUGAYKGAUUGAUGACUAUUUUCAUCUUGUGUCGCSCACGUGAUACGGGAUGAACCAUAAAGCAACCUUUGUGAUCCACCAUUUUGAUGCCAAAACAUCGAUUUUGUGGCUCACUUUGUACUGCUUGGUCUCAUUGAUAUGGAAACUUUUAUGGGCAUGUGAUCUUUUAGUAGUUCMUUGUUUGCCCUAGUAAAGCUUUUCAAAUACGAUUUCCUAUCAUGUCUUGACGUGGUAGGCUAUAUCGAAUAUGAAUGCUACCUGGUUGAUCCUGCCAGUAGUCAUAUGCUUGUCUCAAAGAUUAAGCCAU